GACGUAGGGGGCGAGCGUUAUCCGGAUUCACUGGGCGUAAAGGGCGCGCAGGCGGUUACGUAAGUCCGGCGUGAAAUCCCACGGCUUAACUGUGGAACUGCGUCGGAUACUGCGUUGACUUGAGGAUGGUAGAGGCCAUUAGAACUAGCGGUGUAGCGGUGAAAUGCGCAGAUAUCGCUAGGAAUGCCGGUGGCGAAGGCGGAUGGCUGGGCCAAUCCUGACGCUGAGGCGCGAAAGCUAGGGGAGCGAACCGG
This 254-nucleotide ribosomal RNA is filed under the name uncultured bacterium. RNAcentral's name for it is "partial 16S ribosomal RNA". It matches the Rfam family "Bacterial small subunit ribosomal RNA", at positions 524 to 776 of the family's 1533-position model. The record is from RNAcentral. RNAcentral also lists the same sequence under 1 other name.